AUGACUGUACUCAAAAGAAUCAUUUCUACAGGUCAGUCUCCGCUUUGUUUAUCCAAAACAAGGCAAACCCACCGAUUCCGAUGAGGAUGAUAAAGUCUUCAGAGCAGUGAUGGUUUUUCAGUACAUCCUGGGCUUGUCCCGCGAAGUACUUGAUUUCGAUGACCUGCGGUCUCUUUUUCGGAAGCGACCGACUCUGUUGACGAACCUGAGGAAC
Molecule: small nucleolar RNA, 214 nt
Filed under: Ectocarpus siliculosus
Lineage: Eukaryota; Phaeophyceae; Ectocarpales; Ectocarpaceae
Description: Small nucleolar RNA U3
Rfam family: Small nucleolar RNA U3
About the family: Small nucleolar RNAs (snoRNAs) are involved in the processing and modification of rRNA in the nucleolus. There are two main classes of snoRNAs: the box C/D class, and the box H/ACA class.
Source: Rfam by way of RNAcentral